Molecule: long non-coding RNA, 702 nt
Organism: Branchiostoma belcheri (Belcher's lancelet)
Lineage: Eukaryota; Metazoa; Chordata; Leptocardii; Amphioxiformes; Branchiostomatidae
Exons: 3
Source: RefSeq, a predicted model, not a curated record
GUAGAAAUAACGCAGUGCCAGAUCGCCGCCGUGUAUAUACGUUACGUACUAGCGAGCGCGCACGAAAAUACCACCCGAGUAGAGUAGGUUAUCACAACCCUUUAGAAAGACACAAAGAAAACAAAAACGACAGAUUUGCAUUAAGAAAGGGAAAUUUAUGCCGGACUUGGCCGGACACGAAAGCCGAUCCUCGCCCGCUAGGUUUACGUUGACCAGUGCACUACGUGCACGGGGAAUUCCCGGUUUGUACCACACGGGGUCUCCUUGUUUGUAUCGCACGGGCCACGCUCAAACUUUUCUGGAAUUGACCAAUCAGAGCUCGUUAAAACCAUUUGCUCUCUUCACGCGUCCUUUCCACAAGCAGGACGCUCAUUUACAUGCUCAUUUAGCCAAUGACUGGUGAGAGCAGUCAGCGUCAGGAUUCAGUCGACCACAGGACCCCAGUUGCCCAGGCCGGCGGGCGUGGAGAUACGUAGCCCCUUUGCCUUCUCUCAACCAGGGAUACAGACAUAAAAAGUUGCAAUACCAUGUGCCUUAGCUAGUGCGCAAGCUCUAGCCGGCAGUUGCCGUGCUAUAGCCGGGACAAUCACAUAUGCCAGAAGCCGUGGUCACAGCUGACUCAAGCCUCCCGGUCACAGAGCUGAUCAUGACAACUGACUCCAGUCUCCUUUGUGUAAAAUUUUGUUUCGAUAUUGUUGAUGA